This 854-nucleotide ribosomal RNA is filed under the name uncultured Alphaproteobacteria bacterium. RNAcentral's name for it is "bacterial SSU rRNA". It matches the Rfam family "Bacterial small subunit ribosomal RNA", at positions 635 to 1500 of the family's 1533-position model. Lineage: Bacteria; Pseudomonadati; Pseudomonadota; Alphaproteobacteria. The record is from RNAcentral.
UUUCAGCUAGAGUAUGAUAGAGGAAAGCAGAAUUUCUAGUGUAGAGGUGAAAUUCGUAGAUAUUAGAAAGAAUACCAAUUGCGAAGGCAGCCUUCUGGAUCAUUACUGACACUGAGGAACGAAAGCAUGGGUAGCGAAGAGGAUUAGAUACCCUCGUAGUCCAUGCCGUAAACGAUGUGUGUUAGACGUUGGAAAUUUAUUUUCAGUGUCGCAGCGAAAGCGAUAAACACACCGCCUGGGGAGUACGACCGCAAGGUUAAAACUCAAAUGAAUUGACGGGGACCCGCACAAGUAGUGGAGCAUGUGGUUUAAUUCGAAGAUACGCGCAGAACCUUACCAACACUUGACAUGUUCGUCGCGACUCUAAGAGAUUAGAGUUUUCGGUUCGGCCGGACGAAACACAGGUGCUGCAUGGCUGUCGUCAGCUCGUGUCGUGAGAUGUUGGGUUAAGUCCCGCAACGAGCGCAACCCUCACUUUUAGUUGCCAUCAUUAAGUUGGGCACUCUGAAAGAACUGCCAGUGAUAAGCUGGAGGAAGGUGGGGAUGACGUCAAGUCCUCAUGGCCCUUACGUGUUGGGCUACACACGUGCUACAAUGGUAUCUACAACAGGAAGCAAGACUGCGAGGUCAAGCAAAUCCUUAAAAGAUACCUCAGUUCGGAUUGCACUCUGCAACUCGAGUGCAUGAAGCUGGAAUUACUAGUAAUCGUGGAUCAGCGUGCCACGGUGAAUGCGUUCCCGGGUCUUGUACACACCGCCCGUCACACCAUGGGAGUUGGUUCUACCUUAAGGCAAGGUUUCAAACCCUUGACCACGGUAUAGUCAGCGACUGGGGUGAAGUCGUAACAAGGUAAC